GCAAAGCUACCUUUAAAUAAGAAAAGGCAAGAUCUAAAUGUUUUUAACAGUCUGAUAAAAUAUGUCACGUCAAACUGUGACACUCUGGUAAUAGUACUUGCCAGAAAAAGUUGCUUCACUCAGAGAAAUAUUGGAAAGGGCCGCUAAAGCAAUAAUAACCAACAACGUGCAACAUAAAUUUGACAGGAAUAUAUGAUGUGAAAAUGAUGUAAAUAUUCUCUCAACCUUCUUGAAAAUAUGUAAUGAUGAAAUAUGUUGGGAAUCCUCAUGAAAAUAUAAAAUGAUGAAAAUA
Non-coding RNA from Hydra vulgaris (swiftwater hydra), 292 nucleotides. Lineage: Eukaryota; Metazoa; Cnidaria; Hydrozoa; Anthoathecata; Hydridae. The record is from RefSeq and is a predicted model, not a curated record.